Oncorhynchus mykiss (rainbow trout) is the source of this 434-nucleotide non-coding RNA. The record is from RefSeq and is a predicted model, not a curated record. NCBI's taxonomy places the organism in Eukaryota, Metazoa, Chordata, Actinopteri, Salmoniformes, Salmonidae.
UGGUGAGGUAGGCUGGACAAUAGAUAUACUGAACAGGGAUGGAGAGUGAGCUGGUGAGGUAGACUGGACAGGGAUGGAGAGUGAGCUGGUGAUGUAGACUGGUCAAUAUAAAUACUGGACAGGGAUGGAGAGUGAGCUAGUGAGGUAGACUGGUCAAUAUAUAUACUGGACAGGGAUGGAGAGUGAGCUGGUGAGGUAGACUGGACAAUACAUAUACUGAACAGGGAUGGAGAGUGAGCUGGUGAGGUAGACUGGACAGGGAUGGAGAGUGAGCUAGUGAGGUAGACUGGUCAAUAUAUAUACUGGACAGGGAUGGAGAGUGAGCUGGUGAGGUAGACUGGUCAAUAUAUAUACUGGACAGGGAUGGAGAGUGAGCUGGUGAGGUAGACUGGACAGGGAUGGAGAGUGAGCUGGUGAGGUAGACUGGACAGGGA